Molecule: ribosomal RNA, 301 nt
Filed under: uncultured bacterium
Lineage: Bacteria
Description: partial 16S ribosomal RNA
Rfam family: Bacterial small subunit ribosomal RNA
Source: RNAcentral
CAGUAGCCGCGGGAAUACGAAGGGGGCUAGCGUUGCUCGGAAUGACUGGGCGUAAAGGGCGCGUAGGCGGCGGCCAAAGUCAGGCGUGAAAUUCCCGGGCUCAACCUGGGGGCUGCGUUUGAUACUUGGUUGCUUGAGUGGGGAAGAGGGUCGUGGAAUUCCCAGUGUAGAGGUGAAAUUCGUAGAUAUUGGGAAGAACACCGGUGGCGAAGGCGGCGACCUGGUCCUUUACUGACGCUGAGGCGCGAAAGCGUGGGGAGCAAACAGGAUUAGAUACCCCCGUAGUCCCUGUCUCUUAUAU